This 460-nucleotide ribosomal RNA is filed under the name uncultured bacterium. RNAcentral describes it as "partial 16S ribosomal RNA". It matches the Rfam family "Bacterial small subunit ribosomal RNA", at positions 338 to 795 of the family's 1533-position model. The record is from RNAcentral.
CCUACGGGAGGCAGCAGUGAGGAAUAUUGGGCAAUGGACGAGAGUCGGAACCAGCCAAGUAGCGUGAAGGAUGACUGCCCUAUGGGUUGUAAACUUCUUUUAUAUGGGAAUAAAAUGUUCCACGUGUGGGAUUUUGUAUGUACCAUAUGAAUAAGGAUCGGCUAACUCCGUGCCAGCAGCCGCGGUAAUACGGAGGAUCCGAGCGUUAUCCGGAUUUAUUGGGUUUAAAGGGAGCGUAGGUGGGUUGUUAAGUCAGUUGUGAAAGUUUGCGGCUCAACCGUAAAAUUGCAGUUGAUACUGGCAGUCUGGAGUACAGUAGAGGUGGGCGGAAUUCGUGGUGUAGCGGUGAAAUGCUUAGAUAUCACGAAGAACUCCGAUUGCGAAGGCAGUUCACUGGACUGCAACUGACACUGAGGCUCGAAAGUGUGGGUAUCAAACAGGAUUAGAUACCCGAGUAGUC